AAACAGGUGCUAAUACCGCAUAACAACUUGGACCGCAUGGUCCGAGCUUGAAAGAUGGCUUCGGCUAUCACUUUUGGAUGGUCCCGCGGCGUAUUAGCUAGAUGGUGGGGUAACGGCUCACCAUGGCAAUGAUACGUAGCCGACCUGAGAGGGUAAUCGGCCACAUUGGGACUGAGACACGGCCCAAACUCCUACGGGAGGCAGCAGUAGGGAAUCUUCCACAAUGGACGAAAGUCUGAUGGAGCAACGCCGCGUGAGUGAAGAAGGGUUUCGGCUCGUAAAACUCUGUUGUUAAAGAAGAACAUAUCUGAGAGUAACUGUUCAGGUAUUGACGGUAUUUAACCAGAAAGCCACGGCUAACUACGUGCCAGCAGCCGCGGUAAUACGUAGGUGGCAAGCGUUGUCCGGAUUUAUUGGGCGUAAAGCGAGCGCAGGCGGUUUUUUAAGUCUGAUGUGAAAGCCUUCGGCUCAACCGAAGAAGUGCAUCGGAAACUGGGAAAC
RNAcentral lists this ribosomal RNA (501 nucleotides) under Lactiplantibacillus plantarum. RNAcentral describes it as "bacterial SSU rRNA". It matches the Rfam family "Bacterial small subunit ribosomal RNA", at positions 154 to 641 of the family's 1533-position model. The record is from RNAcentral. Lineage: Bacteria; Bacillati; Bacillota; Bacilli; Lactobacillales; Lactobacillaceae.